CAAAAGGCUUUAAAGAAAGCCACAAAAGAUCUAAAAAAAAAGGUAU
Non-coding RNA from Astyanax mexicanus (Mexican tetra), 46 nucleotides. NCBI's taxonomy places the organism in Eukaryota, Metazoa, Chordata, Actinopteri, Characiformes, Acestrorhamphidae. The record is from Rfam.